AUGAACGCUGGCGGCGUGCCUAAUCCCUGCAAGUCGCGCGAACAGACGAGGAGCUUGCUCCUUCGACGUUAGCGGCGGACGGGUGAGUAACACGUAGGUAACCUACCUAUAAGACUGGGAUAACUUCGGGAAACCGGAGCUAAUACCGGAUAAUAUUUCGAACCGCAUGGUUCGAUAGUGAAAGAUGGCUUUGCUAUCACUUAUAGAUGGACCUGCGCCGUAUUAGCUAGUUGGUAAGGUAACGGCUUACCAAGGCAACGAUACGUAGCCGACCUGAGAGGGUGAUCGGCCACACUGGAACUGAGACACGGUCCAGACUCCUACGGGAGGCAGCAGUAGGGAAUCUUCCGCAAUGGGCGAAAGCCUGACGGAGCAACGCCGCGUGAGUGAUGAAGGUCUUCGGAUCGUAAAACUCUGUUAUUAGGGAAGAACAAACGUGUAAGUAACUGUGCACGUCUUGACGGUACCUAAUCAGAAAGCCACGGCUAACUACGUG
This 496-nucleotide ribosomal RNA is filed under the name uncultured bacterium. Its description in RNAcentral is "partial 16S ribosomal RNA". It matches the Rfam family "Bacterial small subunit ribosomal RNA", at positions 29 to 507 of the family's 1533-position model. The record is from RNAcentral.